CCUGUGCACUCCUGGCUGAAACUGAGCCCCUCCAGAGCUUGCAGAGGAGCUGCUAUCAGAAUGCCAGUCAUACUGAAAGCUCAGUAGCUGCUCACCUAAGGAGUCCAUUGUUGAACUAUCAGAAGCAGAAAACCACUGA
This is a long non-coding RNA of Calypte anna (Anna's hummingbird), 139 nucleotides long. RefSeq lists it as uncharacterized. The transcript has 3 exons. The record is from RefSeq and is a predicted model, not a curated record. NCBI's taxonomy places the organism in Eukaryota, Metazoa, Chordata, Aves, Apodiformes, Trochilidae.